CGGAAAUCUUUUGGUUUUGGUUAAAAAAGAUACAGUAAGGGGCGAAGAUCAGACAAUCUUACCAAUUCCAUUAAAGAGGGAGAGAACAGAGAGAAAUGAUCCUACCUGUAGUGAAGCUAGGAACUCUUUUUCUAAAAACCAUAUGCAAACCCAUUGCUAAUCGGCUCAAGAAAUAGGCUGGAUUUCACCCCAAGCGUCGCCAGCUGAUCAUUAACAUCGCGCAGUGAUAAUGUUGAGCUGAUUAUCGACGCCACUUUAUGCUCUGCUUGUAUGCUUGUGUGUGCGAAAUGGUGCCUGUCUGGAUCUGCUGGUUUCUGCGUACCUUGUUUUGUGUUGGAUAAUAAUUAAGUAUUCAUGCUUUCUUAUUUAUUAAACUGCGGAAGGAACCUGCCCUAGACUGUUGUUUAGUUUCAAAUCAAGAAUUGUUAAUUUAUUUCCAAACAUUUUUUAUACAUCAUUAUAGAAAUUCUCCCGUCAUGUUUCUAUAUGUAUAAAAAACUAACCGUGAUAGUCCUCGUCACAUCUUCAACUUACAUAAGCAUGUGCA
Long non-coding RNA from Carica papaya (papaya), 547 nucleotides. RefSeq lists it as uncharacterized. Lineage: Eukaryota; Viridiplantae; Streptophyta; Magnoliopsida; Brassicales; Caricaceae. The record is from RefSeq and is a predicted model, not a curated record.